This 467-nucleotide ribosomal RNA is filed under the name uncultured bacterium. RNAcentral describes it as "partial 16S ribosomal RNA". It matches the Rfam family "Bacterial small subunit ribosomal RNA", at positions 28 to 507 of the family's 1533-position model. The record is from RNAcentral.
GAUGAACGCUGGCGGCGUGCUUAACACAUGCAAGUCGAACGGUGAAGCAGAGCUUGCUCUGUGGAUCAGUGGCGAACGGGUGAGUAACACGUGAGCAACCUGCCCCUGACUCUGGGAUAGGCCCUGAAAAGGGCGCCUAAUCCUGGAUAGAAGCUGCAACGCACGGGUUGGUGGUUGGAAGAAUUUUUCGUUUGGGGAUGGGCCUACGGCCUAUCGGCUUGUUGUGGAGGUAAUGGCUCACCAAGGCGUCGCCGGGUAGCCGGCCUGAGAGGGGGACCGGCCACACUGGGACUGAGACACGGCCCAGACUCCUACGGGAGGCAGCAGUGGGGAAUAUUGCACAAUGGGCGAAAGCCUGAUGCAGCAACGCCGCGUGAGGGAUGACGGCCUUCGGGUUGUAAACCUCUUUUAGCAGGGAAGAAGCGAAAGUGACGGUACCUGCAGAAAAAGCGCCGGCUAACUACGUG